AUAAUUAAAGUUUUAACAAUUUUAAUACUACAAAUUAGAAAUAUAAAAAUAGUUAUA
This 57-nucleotide transfer RNA is filed under the name Agamermis sp. BH-2006. RNAcentral's name for it is "tRNA-Val". The record is from RNAcentral. Lineage: Eukaryota; Metazoa; Nematoda; Enoplea; Mermithida; Mermithidae.